GAUGAACGCUGGCGGCGUGCCUAAUACAUGCAAGUCGAGCGAACAGACGAGGAGCUUGCUCCUCUGACGUUAGCGGCGGACGGGUGAGUAACACGUGGAUAACCUACCUAUAAGACUGGGAUAACUUCGGGGAACCGGAGCUAAUACCGGAUAAUAUAUUGAACCGCAUGGUUCAAUAGUGAAAGACGGUUUUGCUGUCACUUAUAGAUGGAUCCGCGCCGCAUUAGCUAGUUGGUAAGGUAACGGCUUACCAAGGCAACGAUGCGUAGCCGACCUGAGAGGGUGAUCGGCCACACUGGAACUGAGACACGGUCCAGACUCCUACUGGAGGCAGCAGUAGGGAAUCUUCCGCAAUGGGCGAAAGCUUGACGGAGCAACGCCGCGUGAGUGAUGAAGGUCUUCGGAUCGUAAAACUCUGUUAUUAGGGAAGAACAAAUGUGUAAGUAACUAUGCACGUCUUGACGGUACCUAAUCAGAAAGCCACGGCUAACUACGUG
This 497-nucleotide ribosomal RNA is filed under the name uncultured bacterium. RNAcentral's name for it is "partial 16S ribosomal RNA". It matches the Rfam family "Bacterial small subunit ribosomal RNA", at positions 28 to 507 of the family's 1533-position model. The record is from RNAcentral.